This 438-nucleotide ribosomal RNA is filed under the name uncultured bacterium. RNAcentral's name for it is "bacterial SSU rRNA". It matches the Rfam family "Bacterial small subunit ribosomal RNA", at positions 958 to 1397 of the family's 1533-position model. The record is from RNAcentral.
AACGCGAAGAACCUUACCAAGGUUUGACAUGGGCCGAAAACUCGCAGAGAUGCGGGGUCCUUCGGGGCGGUUCACAGGUGGUGCAUGGCUGUCGUCAGCUCGUGUCGUGAGAUGUUGGGUUAAGUCCCGCAACGAGCGCAACCCUCGUCCUAUGUUGCCAGCGGGUCAUGCCGGGGACUCAUGGGAGACUGCCGGGGUCAACUCGGAGGAAGGUGGGGAUGAGGUCAAGUCAUCAUGCCCCUUAUGUCUUGGGCUGCAAACAUGCUACAAUGGCCGGUACAGAGGGCUGCGAGCCUGCAAGGGUGAGCGAAUCCCGGAAAGCCGGUCUCAGUUCGGAUCGGGGUCUGCAACUCGGCCCCGUGAAGCCGGAGUCGCUAGUAAUCGCGGAUCAGCAACGCCGCGGUGAAUACGUUCCCGGGCCUUGUACACACCGGCUAC